This 568-nucleotide long non-coding RNA is filed under the name Helianthus annuus (common sunflower). Its description in RNAcentral is "hypothetical non coding rna". Lineage: Eukaryota; Viridiplantae; Streptophyta; Magnoliopsida; Asterales; Asteraceae. The record is from RNAcentral.
GCUCAUUUCUUCUAUUCUUCUCUCUAUACGUUGGUGUUCUAACCAAUAAUCACCGAUGCGAUGUUCUGUCCGAUCGAUUCAGGAACCAACUAACGGAUGCCAAAGUGUUGUACUUUGUGAAUUUUGUUAAACGAAUGCCAAAGUGCUGUCUAAACAAGACUAUACUUGUGAAUUUCGUAAAGGUUCGAAUCUCGUGACCAUCGUUAGGUUUGAUUAGGUUUAACACAAAUACGUAUUCCAUUCUGUUAAACUAAAUGUUUAACUACUCGAAACUCUACCCCAUACUUACAAUCAAAAUGGAUGCUUAAUCAUCAGAGGAUUCAGAACUAUAAAGUAUAUGCUUAGAAUCAAGAUGUUUGUUUAAUCAAGACAGUAUGCUAACAAGGUGAAUACAGUAGGUGGGAAUAAGAGUCGGAUACGGCACCGAAAGGCUUACAGACGUGGCUUAAUUUAUCAAUUCAAAUCAAAUUAAGAAAAGUAUUUUAUGUAAUCGGGGUUAUCCCAUAUUAAAGCUACCUUUCAAAACAUGGGUUUAUCUCAUCUAUUUGAUAAAUAAAAUCCGGUGUUU